RNAcentral lists this ribosomal RNA (286 nucleotides) under uncultured bacterium. Its description in RNAcentral is "partial 16S ribosomal RNA". It matches the Rfam family "Bacterial small subunit ribosomal RNA", at positions 334 to 612 of the family's 1533-position model. The record is from RNAcentral.
AAAUCCUACGGGGGGCAGCAGUAGGGAACUUUCGUCAAUGGGCGCAAGCCUGAACGAGCAAUGCCGCGUGAACGAGGAAGGUCUUCGGAUCGUAAAGUUCUGUUGAAGGGGAAAAAGAGCGGAGAGAGGAAAUGGUCUCCGAUUGAUAUUACCCUUCGAGGAAGUCACGGCUAACUACGUGCCAGCAGCCGCGGUAAUACGUAGGGUGCGAGCGUUAAUCGGAAUUACUGGGUGUAGGGGGUGCGCAGGCGGUUGAGUAAGACAGAUGUGAAAUCCCCGAGCUUAA